Molecule: ribosomal RNA, 504 nt
Filed under: uncultured Glomus
Lineage: Eukaryota; Fungi; Glomeromycota; Glomeromycetes; Glomerales; Glomeraceae
Description: SSU rRNA
Rfam family: Eukaryotic small subunit ribosomal RNA
Source: RNAcentral
AGCAGCCGCGGUAAUUCCAGCUCCAAUAGCGUAUAUUAAAGUUGUUGCAGUUAAAAAGCUCGUAGUUGAAUUUCGGGAUCAGUACGCUGGUCGUGCCUUCGGUAUGUACUGGUGUUACUGGUUCCUACCUUCUGACGAACCGUCAUGUCAUUAAUUUGGUGUGGCGGGGAAUCAGGACUGUUACUUUGAAAAAUUAGAGUGUUUAAAGCAGGCUCGCGCUUGAAUACAUUAGCAUGGAAUAAUGAAAUAGGACGUUCGAUCCUAUUUUGUUGGUUUCUAGGAUUGACGUAAUGAUUAAUAGGGAUAGUUGGGGCAUUAGUAUUCAAUUGUCAGAGGUGAAAUUCUUGGAUUUAUUGAAGACUAACUACUGCGAAAGCAUUUGCCAAGGAUGUUUUCAUUAAUACAAGAACGAAAGUUAGGGGAUCGAAGACGAUCAGAUACCGUCGUAGUCUUAACCAUAAACUAUAGCCGACUAGGGAUCGGAUGAUGUUAAUUUUAUGACUC